This 1998-nucleotide long non-coding RNA is filed under the name Monodelphis domestica (gray short-tailed opossum). Its description in RNAcentral is "lncRNA (ENSMODG00000036072.2)". Lineage: Eukaryota; Metazoa; Chordata; Mammalia; Didelphimorphia; Didelphidae. The record is from RNAcentral.
UUGUUGGCUUCCCUCCCCUCCUCUUCCAUUCUUUUCCUCCUCUUCUGUUUCUGUGUCUCUGUUUCUGCCAUUCUCUUUAUCUCUCUGUCUCUGUCUCCCUGUCUCUCUCCCUCCCUCCCUCCUCCCCUCCCCCAUCCCUCCUCUCCUUUCCCUGCCACAAAUUGGCUUUUGCCUAUUGUACAUACAGAGCUUUAGUCAUAAGUUAGAGGUAAUGAUCAUUAACCACAUGUUCCAAAUUACAGUAUCAGCUUUGCACAUUCCCCUGUGUAGCAAUCUGGUUUUCUAGCCAUAAGAGAAAGCCGUCGUCGUCACUAGUUUGCAGCAUGUUUGUAAGAAAAAUGAGCAACAGAAGUUCAAAUCAGGCGUCUUAGAGAGUGCAUGAACUGGGAGUGAUUGGAAGUUUCGUUUAAAUAGCAAAUAACAUGCUCCGUGUUCCAAUUUUUGUUGCUGUUGUCCACCACCUCCAUUUCUUUGGGGACUGUAACUCAUUUGAAGAGCUCUGGAGUGGAAAACCCAGGAGCAGACAAGAAUUCUCAGGGAUCUUUUCACUGAUCAUCCCUGUUCUUUCCCUCCAUCCUCCUUGUGGCCAGGAUCUCAUGUUUGUAAGACACCUGGUGAAGGCUUUAACAAGAAACCAGAACAAGCCCCAAUCACAGGAACUAUGGAAAAAAGCUCAAGUAAAGGGAAUUCACCUGAUGUUCUAGAUGCAUUCACCAAGUAAUCUUCACGCAGAUACAUAGACACAUAUGCUUGUACACAUACCCAUUUGGUGGUGAAGAGAAGCAAUGAAAUCAUUUUAAUGUAAAGAAGGGUCUCAUACUUUAGAUGCAGUGAUAUUUGAAUCAUUCUCUAUUCCAGUCUUUUAAUGAAGAAAUCACUCAUAGCACUUACAAAUCCAUGUGAUUAAAUAACUCCACCUUACUGUUGUGCUGAAAAUAACUUAAAUCUUUCCCCUCAUCCUUUGGGUCUUACAGUGGUAGGACUUAGCUAGAGAUGAGUUUUCUUGAAAGAAAUUAGGCUAAUGGAGGCCAGUAUGGAAGCAGGAAGCAAAAACUUCUAUGAAAACUAGACUCUCUGAGACCAGGUAGGGAUAAGUAAAGCUUAAGCUUCUAAAAUCCUUACUGGUUCAAUCGAGACUAUUUACAAGAAUUGAUAAAACUUGUAACAACCAAGGCUUCUAUCAUCUGUCUUUUUAUGUUUAUAAAGCAAAUACACAACAAAAGUAAGAACCUCAUUUUUGAUUUCUUGAUUAAACGCAUUUUCAGUUUAGCUAUAUCCUGCUGCACCCAAGUUGGUAAAAGAAUAGGUUUGACCUUGUGCUAUGAUUUAGUAGUCAUUUAGCUGUAUUUCUGUCAUGUGGAAAUCAGGACAAAGAGAUAGAAUAUUGCAGAGUCCAGUUUCAGUAUUCUAUUAUCACUUCUUUAGUGAUAUAGAGUGAAGUAGUUCUAACUCUGUGACAAUGUAAGGGGUAGAGAGAAGGAUUGCAAAAGAAAAAAAAAGGAAAGUAAAGAAAGACAACCUAAAGAAAAGAUUUCCCUUUAAAAAAAAGCAGUAAAAUUAAAAAUAACUAAAAUUUUAUAGUAUAUAUUGAUAUCUAGACAUAUCUAUGUAUAGAUAUAAAUAUAUAUGUAUAUGAACCAAUGCCUUUUUGAAAAUGUGAAGAUGGAUAUUGGCAAUGCAACUCAAAGUGAGAUAUGGUAAGUAUCUGAGCUUUAAGGGGGAAAAAGUACCUGUUCAAAUAUUAUAUUUGUCACUGACUAAUUAUAUGGCCUAGAGCAGUGAUGGUAAACCUUUUAAAGAUAAAGUGCUAAACCCUACCCCCACCACACACCCCAGAUGGAAUUCUGUACCCUACUAAGAGAACACAUGCCAUGCUUGUCCCUCCACCAAAUGCCAGGUAUGCUCCCCAUUACUCCACACAGGGAAAAGAGAAAGUGUUUCCCAUUGCACUGCUAGGCAGAGAGGGGCUGAAAUAAAGAAUGCCUUCAGUUAGAGUCA